This is a long non-coding RNA of Vicia villosa (hairy vetch), 917 nucleotides long. RefSeq lists it as uncharacterized. The record is from RefSeq and is a predicted model, not a curated record. NCBI's taxonomy places the organism in Eukaryota, Viridiplantae, Streptophyta, Magnoliopsida, Fabales, Fabaceae. The transcript has 5 exons.
UGAAAGCUGAAUUGUCAUUGUUAUCUUCAUCAAGUAUGCAAGUGGACGCAACGCAAAGCUCGCAUUAUUCAGAGUUUGAUAAGUUUGUGUGGAAGGCUGAAAUUAUGAGUCUUGCUGAAAUAACCUCUCUGCAGCAUGAGACUAUAUGUGUUACUGUUGCGACUUUAGAAAAAUUUGAGGCUGGCCAGUCAGGGUGGUACUAUGAUGGAUGUGUCGAUUGCACAAAAAGUGUGUCUCUGAAGGAUGGUAAACUGAUUUGUUAUGCCAAACACAUAAGUGCUGAGCCGGUACCAAGGUAUAAACUCGAAAUUAUGGCUGUUGAUGGUAAAUAUAAGUCCAGGUUCAUUUUUUGGGACGGAGAUUGCGUCAGGUUGAUUGGAAAGUCUGCUCUUCAAAUGAAAAAUGAUUUAAUAGAGGUAUAUACCGACCAUCAACAAUAAAUAUUGCGAUAAUUCAGUAAGUAAUUCAAUUCAUUUCUUUAAUGUAGGCCGGUGAAGAUAAUCCGCUUGAAUUCCCUUAUGCACUUGAUGCAAUAUUAAAGAAGGAAUUGGCUAUUAGAGCUGUUUUUCAGCCUAACAAAGGGAGACUUUCUGUCAUUAGCUUCAAAACUGAUGAAGAUAUUCGUAAGAAAAUUAGGGCGAGUUUCAGCUCUGAAGAGCCCACGUCAAAGCUUCUAACACCAGAACCUUCGUCACAAGAUGAACCAAUAUGUGUUGAUGAACCUUUGUCCGCAUCCGCUGAUUAUGACCCAGCAGUUGGAAAUACAACCCUGACUCCAUCAAAGAGGACUUUAAAUGAUGCAGUAGAAGAUCUUGAGAGCAGCCAACUUUCCUCAACCAAGUUGAUUAAGGAUAUCAAAAAGGAAAAAUAAUAACCUACAACUUUAUGCUCAUGAACUUUUGUUAGUUUUAAAGAAA